AUGUACAUUCUUACAACAUAGCCUUAAUGCAUUGGAUCCCAUUAGAACUCCGCAGUUAAGUGCGUUUGGGAUAGAUUAGUACUGGGAUGGGUGACCGCCCAAGAAUUCCUAUAGUUUUACAUG
Molecule: non-coding RNA, 123 nt
Organism: Picea glauca (white spruce)
Lineage: Eukaryota; Viridiplantae; Streptophyta; Pinopsida; Pinales; Pinaceae
Source: Rfam